Molecule: ribosomal RNA, 400 nt
Filed under: uncultured bacterium
Lineage: Bacteria
Description: bacterial SSU rRNA
Rfam family: Bacterial small subunit ribosomal RNA
Source: RNAcentral
GGGGAAUAUUGCGCAAUGGGGGAAACCCUGACGCAGCAACGCCGCGUGAAGGAAGAAGGCCUUCGGGUUGUAAACUUCUUUGAUAGGGGACGAUAAUGACGGUACCCUAAAAACAAGCCACGGCUAACUACGUGCCAGCAGCCGCGGUAAUACGUAGGUGGCGAGCGUUGUCCGGAAUUACUGGGUGUAAAGGGCGUGUAGGCGGGGAAGCAAGUCAGAUGUGAAAUUCCGGGGCUCAACUCCGGCGUUGCAUCUGAAACUGUUUUUCUUGAGUGCUGGAGAGGAAAGCGGAAUUCCUAGUGUAGCGGUGAAAUGCGUAGAUAUUAGGAGGAACACCAGUGGCGAAGGCGGCUUUCUGGACAGUAACUGACGCUGAGGCGCGAAAGCGUGGGGAGCAAAC